This 496-nucleotide ribosomal RNA is filed under the name uncultured bacterium. RNAcentral describes it as "partial 16S ribosomal RNA". It matches the Rfam family "Bacterial small subunit ribosomal RNA", at positions 29 to 507 of the family's 1533-position model. The record is from RNAcentral.
AUGAACGCUGGCGGCGUGCCUAAUACAUGCAAGUAGAACGCUGAAGGAAGGAGCUUGCUCUUUCCGGAUGAGUUGCGAACGGGUGAGUAACGCGUAGGUAACCUGCCUGGUAGCGGGGGAUAACUAUUGGAAACGAUAGCUAAUACCGCAUAACAGUAGAUGUUGCAUGAUAUCUACUUAAAAGGUGCAAUUGCACCACUACCAGAUGGACCUGCGUUGUAUUAGCUAGUUGGUGAGGUAACGGCUCACCAAGGCGACGAUACAUAGCCGACCUGAGAGGGUGAUCGGCCACACUGGGACUGAGACACGGCCCAGACUCCUACGGGAGGCAGCAGUAGGGAAUCUUCGGCAAUGGACGGAAGUCUGACCGAGCAACGCCGCGUGAGUGAAGAAGGUUUUCGGAUCGUAAAGCUCUGUUGUAAGAGAAGAACGAGUGUGAGAGUGGAAAGUUCACACUGUGACGGUAUCUUACUAGAAAGGGACGGCUAACUACGUG